This 253-nucleotide ribosomal RNA is filed under the name uncultured bacterium. RNAcentral's name for it is "partial 16S ribosomal RNA". It matches the Rfam family "Bacterial small subunit ribosomal RNA", at positions 524 to 776 of the family's 1533-position model. The record is from RNAcentral.
UACGUAGGUGGCAAGCGUUGUCCGGAUUUAUUGGGCGUAAAGCGAGCGCAGGCGGUUUCUUAAGUCUGAUGUGAAAGCCCCCGGCUCAACCGGGGAAGAGCAUUGGAAACUGGGAGGCUUGAGUACAGAAGAGGAGAGUGGAAUUCCAUGUGUAGCGGUGAAAUGCGUAGAUAUAUGGAGGAACACCAGUGGCGAAGGCGACUCCCUGGUCUGAAACUGACGCUGAGGCUCGAAAGCGUGGGUAGCAAACAGG